This 255-nucleotide ribosomal RNA is filed under the name uncultured bacterium. RNAcentral's name for it is "partial 16S ribosomal RNA". It matches the Rfam family "Bacterial small subunit ribosomal RNA", at positions 524 to 777 of the family's 1533-position model. The record is from RNAcentral.
UACGAAGGGGGCUAGCGUUGUUCGGAUUUACUGGGCGUAAAGCGCACGUAGGCGGAUUGUUAAGUCAGGGGUGAAAUCCCGGAGCUCAACUCCGGAACUGCCUUUGAUACUGGCAAUCUAGAGUCCGGAAGAGGUGAGUGGAACUCCUAGUGUAGAGGUGGAAUUCGUAGAUAUUAGGGAAGAACACCAGUGGCGAAGGCGGCUCACUGGUCCGGUACUGACGCUGAGGUGCGAAAGCGUGGGGAGCAAACAGGG